CAGCCGCCACGGUAAUACGUAGGUGGCAAGCGUUGUCCGGAAUUAUUGGGCGUAAAGGGCUCGCAGGCGGUUUCUUAAGUCUGAUGUGAAAGCUCCCGGCUCAACCGGGGAGGGUCAUUGGGAACUGGGAAACUUGAGUGCAGAAGAGGAGAGUGGAAUUCCACGUGUAGCGGUGAAAUGCGUAGAGAUGUGGAGGAACACCAGUGGCGAAGGCGACUCUCUGGUCUGUAACUGACGCUGAGGAGCGAAAGCGUGGGGAGCGAACAGGAUUAGAUACCCCUGUAGUCCCUGUCUCUUAUAC
Molecule: ribosomal RNA, 301 nt
Filed under: uncultured bacterium
Lineage: Bacteria
Description: partial 16S ribosomal RNA
Rfam family: Bacterial small subunit ribosomal RNA
Source: RNAcentral